Molecule: long non-coding RNA, 328 nt
Organism: Stegastes partitus (bicolor damselfish)
Lineage: Eukaryota; Metazoa; Chordata; Actinopteri; Pomacentridae
Exons: 3
Source: RefSeq, a predicted model, not a curated record
AUACCACAUGAAACCACAUGAAACCCAGCAGCAGUAACACAGCUGACAGUUCGUCUAGUUUGACUCGUUUUAAACACGCGACAUUGAUCGUUUGUUUCGCCGUACAUGGUGAAAACAGAUUCUGGGAUUUUAUGAUUGGCUGCAACAGAAAGUAUAAAUAAGGAAGUGAGGAAGCUCCCAGGAGCAGACGGCGACACCACCCGACGCUGCCUGGACCUCCAGACCGACAGACACUCAGUGGACACGCCCUUCACACCGAGCUGUGCACAUCAGAGAAAUACGCAGCAAAACCACAGGAACUAUGGGUGACCAGGCGGCAGACAAAGAC